Molecule: long non-coding RNA, 2908 nt
Organism: Cyprinus carpio (common carp)
Lineage: Eukaryota; Metazoa; Chordata; Actinopteri; Cypriniformes; Cyprinidae
Source: RefSeq, a predicted model, not a curated record
UUAAAUGCAAAGGGUUAAAAGCGAGAGCUGUGAGGUGAAAGUGGACAAUAGACUAAAUGCUACAUGUGCUCAGGGCAACACAUCAAACUAAUUUAACAGAGCAUGCCUCUGUGAUGUAGAGGUCAGAUCCGGAGAGUUGCGCGUCCCGAAGCCCACAAUGCUUUUUUUUUUUUUUUUUUAAUGAAACAGGCAAUGGAAAAAAUGCCCGGCCAUUUAAAAUGCCUGACCCCGGACUUUAACACAGCACUUGUAAAUUAGCCACACAGACAGCCUUAGCCGAAAGGUCACAAGCAUGUUUUUCUGCUCCUCUUUCUUUGACAUAAUCUAAAACGGAGGGUCUGAAAUUAGCUUUAACCUCCCGAAUGACAUGUUUAUUUACAUAACUGCUAUGGACAGAGGGAGCGGCUCCACGCUAGAUCAAAAUCAACACAUUGUUUUUGCCACGUCGCGAGCAGUCGCCCAGUGACCAUCUCCGAGUGGCCCGGGGAUAUUUGUUGUCAGGACGAGAGCUCGGCAAAGGGCUUCAAAUAAUCUAAUCUGGUGCAUCUAAGUGUGUUCUGCCCUAACGCGCCUCUGACCCCAUUCUGUUCUCAUGGAUCCUGGCGGUGGGGGCCGAGGAGGGCUCAUGCGUGGCGUGCUAAUCCGCCAAGUCAAUAGUGGCAGCGAGCGCUUGCGAAUAAACCGGUGCCGCGGUGGUGGCACUAUCACGACUUGGCUUGACUCUAAUGCCAGUGUCUCCUCAGGGGAAGGACUUUAUUUCAGCGUCGUUAAGGGAGGGCUUCGGAAAAACAUUAGCGUCAAAGCGCGUGAGCUUUUAUGGAACAGCACUGAGGAAGAGCACAAGGAGAAAACCUGUCACAGCAGUUCUGGUCUCUGCGAUUGCAUGAGGGCGACCUGCGGUUUUAACUCUGUCAAGGCAAGAGUCUGGAGGUUUCCUGCAUCCUUCUGCCUUUUGAUAGCACAUUUGAAAUGCAAGAAUAAAUGCGUCAGCUUGGCACACGAUCCGUGUCCACUGGGCCUUUGCGAGAUGACCUUUGCCUGGUGAAUGUCGGACUGAGUUUUUAAGCAUUAUACACAUUAAUUUGAGAGAUUAUUCAUAUUAGUGCAUGUGCACAAGGUUUUGACUUAUUUUUUUGUUUCCUUGAGGAUGUCAAAGACCUUUUUGCUGGGCAUGUACCUUUUUUUUUUCUUUUUUUGGAGGCCUCAGUGACAGUCUUGGUUCACUGAAAUGUGCUUUUGGUACCCUAUUUCUUUAAUAUUUUUAUUUUCCAUUGUAUUAUUAUUAUUAUUAUUAUGUUUUUUAAGUUAGUAUUUUAAAAUUUACUGGUCAACAAAUAUUUUUUUUUUUUAAAUGUGUGAAUGUAUAAUUAAAUAUGUAUUAAGAUUUAUGAGAAUUAUAUAGUAUUUGAUUUAUUAAGAUAUUUAUAUAAAGUUUUUCCAAGCAUAUAUAUAUGUGUCACAUUCAGCAUCCACUUAGCUUACUAAUUCAAGAAGGCACAUGGCACAGUUUGGUGGGUAUACUGUGUGUGUGUGUGUGUGUGUGUGUGUGUGAGACCUCCUGUGCAUGCGUUUUUUUUGUUGUUUUUUUUCAUACAUGUAAAAGGCUUGCAUUUUUGAGUGAUUGAUUAGAUGAGUGAGUAAUGUGUGUGUGAGUGUGUGUUUAACAGUUAACGCGGCAGGGAGUGGACAGAAGGGCCAAGUGUGACAGGUGGACAGGCAUGAUAAGGAGAGAGCGGUGCAGCCCAGCGCUCAGCAGAAGCAGACCCCAGGAGAAUAUCCAGCCAAAAGCAGCUAAUAGCUGAUACUCAUCAGAGAUAGAGCCACUGAAGAUUUCCUUUCUCUGUGGAAUAGUCCGUUCAUUCAGCUCCAGCCCAAAUUCUCCUCCCUAAAAAUGUGAAAAGAUGUUGUUAAUCAAGUUUUAUACAACAGAACAGUUAAUGUUGGGACUGAAGGACUGUGCCAUGAUACGACGUAUAUCAAGGCUUUCUGCUUUACAGAUUUCACAUCAGUGUCUCAAUGCAAACUCAGCAAUGUUGUAACUCCAAGAAGAAGGCAUGGGACACGAGCAACCCACUAAAUGUGUGUUUACACUGCUGAGCCCACACUUAUAAUUUUGUGAAUUCAAGCGGCAGCCCUAUGUGAGACCAUUUCAUGAAACUAAGAAAUUUUCAGGGACGAAAAGGAAAAUUCAGAGGGAACGAGAAUAAUAAAUGCAAAUUAUGAAUCCGUUUACCAAACACCGGCAAGAGGAAGUUCACAGUCUCCAAGGCACCAAAUUACGCCAUUGAUCCGAACCCAAAAUGGCUCCAUGUCUGGCAUUUUCAGAGGCCGUUUCCAAGUCAAUGUCAUCCUAUCUGCCUUAAACUAAAAGAGACAAAUACGACUGGAAUAAGGUAAAGAUGGAGUGGUUGUCUUGCUGUUGUGCUGGUAUCAGACAUGGGCUCUUCAUCAGAUGACUAAUGGAGUUGUGCAGCUAACCAGGAGGCCCAAGGCUGUUUGUUAGCUCCUAACAAGGUGAACCAGCUCCUACGGAACAGCACACUAGCGCUGAAGGAUUUAUUAUAGAUCUGCGUGUCCGCGGGCCAUGAACAGUAUAGCGCCGGUCUCAUUGUAGUGGGUCCACCACACUAGCAGAGGGUUUAGAUCAUUAUUGCCUCAUUGUUUUGAUACAAUUUUGCAGAGCGGAUGAUGGAUGGAUGGAUAAUCGGAUGAGUAAAGGAGUUUUGGUAGCCUAGCACAUGAGGGUAAUGGAUGGACUGCAAAAACACACGAAAAUGAUAAGGAAAAGUGAGUUUUGAACAUGUUUUAUGAUGGAAUUUGGAAAAACAUUUUCAGUCUUUACACAUUUAGAUAGUUGACAUUGUUGAGUAGUGAUGUAGUAUGUUAUAAUUCACCUAAAGUUAUAUUA